AACGAACGCUGGCGGCAUGCCUAACACAUGCAAGUCGAACGAGACCUUCGGGUCUAGUUGCGCACGGGUGCGUAACGCGUGGGAACCUGCCCUUAGGUUCGGAAUAACUCCCCGAAAGGGGUGCUAAUACCGGAUAAUGUCUUCGGACCAAAGAUUUAUCGCCUUUGGAUGGGCCCGCGUUGGCUUAGCUAGUUGGUAGGGUAAAAGCCUACCAAGGCGACGAUCCAUAGCUGGUCUGAGAGGAUGAUCAGCCACACUGGGACUGAGACACGGCCGAGACUCCUACGGGAGGAAGCAGUGGGGAAUAUUGGACAAUGGGCGAAAGCCUGAUGCAGCAAGGCCGCGUGAGUGAUGAAGGCCUGAGGGUUGUAAAGCUCUUUUACCCGGGAUGAUAAUGACAGUACCGGGAGAAUAAGCUCCGGCUAACUCCGUG
RNAcentral lists this ribosomal RNA (433 nucleotides) under uncultured bacterium. RNAcentral describes it as "partial 16S ribosomal RNA". It matches the Rfam family "Bacterial small subunit ribosomal RNA", at positions 29 to 507 of the family's 1533-position model. The record is from RNAcentral.